CACACAUGCACACGCAUACACACAGCACACAGCACAGAUACACACCAUUGAGCAAUACCCGUUUGACCUUCCUCACCUAGGAUCUAGAGGAUUUUAUAAGAGUUCUGACAGAAGCUAGUCUGCAAAACUUGGGACUCUGCCAUGCUGUCUUGCAGAUGGAAAGUGAGCUAGGCUGCUUCUUUCUUCCUCUAAUUACCCUUCCAUCCAAAAUUAUUCCAGGAAGUCCUCAAGAAAUAUAUGGAGAUACAUGUGUACAUACACAUAGAUUCCCAAUGAACUUUCAUAAAGGAUAGUGGCUAGUCUCACAGACUUCAGCAAAGACUGCCACUCACUGUGAUCUGGCGCAAGUGGCUCAGUUCUUCCAACCUUCAGUGUCUUCCUCUGUGAGGUA
Manis pentadactyla (Chinese pangolin) is the source of this 391-nucleotide long non-coding RNA. RefSeq lists it as uncharacterized. The transcript is spliced from 3 exons. The record is from RefSeq and is a predicted model, not a curated record. Lineage: Eukaryota; Metazoa; Chordata; Mammalia; Pholidota; Manidae.